GAUGAGAAGGGGGGCUCCCUUCUCUAGUAGCAAAGGGUGAGGAGACUGAGUCUCCUUUCUACUGCCAGGUCACUGGGGACUAUUUGUCAUGGGAGUGGAGGUGAUAAGGAAGGGGCUCAGCCAUCGCCAAGAUCGUGGGUGGCAAUGCAGCCCAGCUGGCACAGUUUGACCCACGGGUGACCAUGUGGGUAUUUGAGGAAGACAUUGGAGGCAAAAAGCUGACUGAGAUCAUCAACACGCAGCAUGAGAAUGUCAAAUACCUGCCAGGGCACAAGUUGCCCCCAAAUGUGGUGGCUGUCCCAGAUGUGGUCCAGGCUGCAGAGGAUGCUGACAUCCUGAUCUUUGUGGUGCCCCAUCAGUUCAUCGGCAAGAUCUGUGACCAGCUCAAGGGCCAUCUGAAGGCAAACGCCACUGGCAUAUCUCUUAUUAAGGCUGCAAGGACCCGGCCCAGGGACAACUCCUGAAAGAGCUGAUGCAGACACCAAACUUCCGUAUCACAGUGGUGCAAGAGGUGGACACAGUAGAGAUCUGUGGAGCCUUAAAGUGGGUGUCACGGCUGAUGAAAUGAGUAUGAGGGGGCUCCAC
Molecule: small RNA, 585 nt
Filed under: Pan troglodytes (chimpanzee)
Lineage: Eukaryota; Metazoa; Chordata; Mammalia; Primates; Hominidae
Description: processed transcript
Source: RNAcentral